UAGCCAGUCUCUCAAGCCGGAGUCCCCUC
This 29-nucleotide non-coding RNA is filed under the name Mus musculus (house mouse). The record is from RNAcentral. Lineage: Eukaryota; Metazoa; Chordata; Mammalia; Rodentia; Muridae.